RNAcentral lists this ribosomal RNA (333 nucleotides) under uncultured Klebsiella sp. Its description in RNAcentral is "SSU rRNA". It matches the Rfam family "Bacterial small subunit ribosomal RNA", at positions 960 to 1293 of the family's 1533-position model. The record is from RNAcentral. Lineage: Bacteria; Pseudomonadati; Pseudomonadota; Gammaproteobacteria; Enterobacterales; Enterobacteriaceae.
CGCGAAGAACCUUACCUACUCUUGACAUCCAGAGAACUUAGCAGAGAUGCUUUGGUGCCUUCGGGAACUAUGAGACAGGUGCUGCAUGGCUGUCGUCAGCUCGUGUUGUGAAAUGUUGGGUUAAGUCCCGCAACGAGCGCAACCCUUAUCUUUUGUUGCCAGCGAUUCGGUCGGGAACUCAAAGGAGACUGCCAGUGAUAAACUGGAGGAAGGUGGGGAUGACGUCAAGUCAUCAUGGCCCUUACGAGUAGGGCUACACACGUGCUACAAUGGCAUAUACAAAGAGAAGCGACCUCGCGAGAGCAAGCGGACCUCAUAAAGUAUGUUGUAGUC